UAUAUCAGUCAUGCAUAGCAUAUCAAUAAGCGGAGGAAAAGAAACUAACUAGGAUUCCCCUAGUAACUGCGAGUGAAGCGGGAAGAGCUCAAAUUUGAAAUCUUAAAAGGUUUUCCUUUUACGAAUUGUAGUUUAAAGAAGUGUUUUCUGUUGAAAUUUUAGUAAAAGUUCUUUGGAAUAGGACAUCAUAGAGGGUGAGAAUCCCGUAUUUGACUAGAAUUUCUCAACUUUGUGAUACACUUUCAAAGAGUCGGAUUGUUUGGGAAUGCAGUCCAAAAUGGGUGGUAAAUUUCAUCUAAAGCUAAAUAUUGGCGAGAGACCGAUAGCGAACAAGUACCGUGAGGGAAAGAUGAAAAGAACUUUGAAAAGAGAGUUAAAUAGUACGUGAAAUUGUCAAAAGGGAAGCGUUUGGCACCAGUGUUGUUUUUCUAAAAAUCAAUUUAAAAUUUGCUUAUGCUAAGUUUUUUAGACUUUAAUCAGGCUAUACUUUUAGUUUUUGUAGCUUUCUUGAAUGCACUUUUUCAGUUAACAAGUCAACAUCAAUUUCUUUUGCUGUAAAAGAAUACUUGAGGAAGGUGGCUUGAGAUUCGUCUUAAGUGUUUAUAGCCUCUUUCCUAUGCAAUCGGAGAGAUUGAGGUCUGCAGCAUAGAUCCUUCGGGGCUAGAUGCAUUUGUGCUAAGUUAGUAGCAUUUAUAUAAACAACUUGUUGACUAUGAUUAUGUCUUGUAUCUUACUCGCUGAGUGUUAUUUUACCUACGCUUAGGAUGUUGAUCUACAGAGCGAGAGU
RNAcentral lists this ribosomal RNA (787 nucleotides) under uncultured Neocallimastigales. RNAcentral's name for it is "partial large subunit ribosomal RNA". It matches the Rfam family "Eukaryotic large subunit ribosomal RNA", at positions 22 to 627 of the family's 3401-position model. Lineage: Eukaryota; Fungi; Neocallimastigomycota; Neocallimastigomycetes; Neocallimastigales. The record is from RNAcentral.